CAGCAGCCGCGGUAAUACGUAGGUGGCAAGCGUCGUCCGGAAUUAUUGGGCGUAAAGGGCUCGCAGGCGGUUUCUUAAGUCUGAUGUGAAAGCCCCCGGCUCAACCGGGGAGGGUCAUUGGAAACUGGGAAACUUGAGUGCAGAAGAGGAGAGUGGAAUUCCACGUGUAGCGGUGAAAUGCGUAGAGAUGUGGAGGAACACCAGUGGCGAAGGCGACUCUCUGGUCUGUAACUGACGCUGAGGAGCGAAAGCGUGGGGAGCGAACAGGAUUAGAUACCCCAGUAGUCCCUGUCUCUUAUAC
RNAcentral lists this ribosomal RNA (301 nucleotides) under uncultured bacterium. RNAcentral's name for it is "partial 16S ribosomal RNA". It matches the Rfam family "Bacterial small subunit ribosomal RNA", at positions 509 to 807 of the family's 1533-position model. The record is from RNAcentral.